CCUUUUUCUCUUUCAGUAAACUAGGCUAGUGUUCUCUUCGGUGAGACUAAAUGGAGAAAACUAGCAGGCCGUGCUGAGCCGAUAAUCAUGAUACUAAAACAUCUGAGAAGUGAGAAAGCUCGAGCUCACUCAAAAGAUGUGUGGAUGUGGUGGUUUUGGAGCUGUUGGAAGUCACAGAGUUGUUGAAGGAGCUGGGCUGAGUAAAGGAAAGGAAAGUAACUAACUACUUUUGCUGUUGAGUAAUUAGUAAGUAUCUCCCACCCCCAUCAUUAGUGUCACACGGACCUACACUUAAAGGCUGAUCAUUCACAAAUUGCUGCAUCAGAUAUCCCAUCUAACCAGUGAUCAAUGAUCUAAAUGGCUAUUAAACUUUUCUGAUGUGGCGGUGGAAUGAAGAGCCCUAAGACUGUAAUUGUAGUAUCAGCGGUACAGGAGGGGCUUUGCUCAAGCUCUGACCUACAUCACAGAUUGUGGCUGUAGUUUGGCGUGAAAAGCAUGGCUACAUAUUUUACGGAGGAGUAUGACGCAGCAUCAUGGUACUGAGCAGACAUGCAGUAGAAGCUACAGAGGAUGGAAUCAUCCCAUUUGCCUGAUCAUAACUUAAUGGCCAGUGCUGGCUUAGCUCAACUGUCCUGGUGCCAGUAAUUGUUCCUCAUCUGGUGUAAUUGCAGGCACAGUGAGAUUCAGAGUGGAUUUCCUGGUGUCUUUCAAAAUUUAGGGGGCGUUUUGCCACUCUAACAACCCAUCACAUUGGAUUACAUGGUUUGAGAUUCUACUGGAGCAAAAAAAAAAAUGUGUGCUGCGUUUUUCAGUUUGAGUGCAGUAUUAACUGCCAUGCGCUUUCUGGAGGAUCCAACCUCAUCAUCCCAACCCAUCAGUCCAAAAAGCUUCAAGAUCCUGAGAGGAAAAUCUCCUCGAAAAGACUUUCUUUGCAAGUUGGGUGUUACACAGUUCAUGGCACAGUGUCUCUGCGGAUAUGAUGGAUGUUUGUUCUUGAACACAGCUUCAUUCUGCAGUCUGUAAAACCUGCAGUGCUUUUCAUUUUUUUGGCGUUUACUUCUUUGUUGAUUUGUUUCUGAAUUAAUGGUUCAUUAUGGCCAGUUUCAGCCAUUGUAUGAGAAGGGUGUGUCACCCUGCCUUGAAGAAUUUCAUUUUCAGUGGACAGCUUUUCUGUGACUCUCAGUAGAGAGCUUGAAUAUCUCAUGAUGCUCCAAAAGCCAUUUCAGAGCUGCUAAAAUUGAAGAAAGAAUUGUAUCACUUUUGACCUUCAAAAAGCUGCACCAGUGUCUAACCAUGAAGAGCUGCAUAUAAGCUGAAGCUUUAGCAAAUCCAAAAGAAAAAGAACAAAAUAAACUCUGGACACAGAGAAAACAAACAAAAACUUCUUCUGGGCUUCUAAAGAUGAGAGGGCAUUUUCUUUCGUCAGCUCUCUCAACUGAAAUGAUGAGCAAAAGAUUGCUCUGCUAAAUGUAAUGAGGCAUCACACUUUCACCUCCACAGAAGCUAGACCUAAUGGAAGUCAUUGGCUAAACGCAUUCCAGAGUAAAUUAGAUGACUUCUUGGUUAGUGGGGCUUUUGUUUGGCACAUAAUUGAUAGGAAAGGUGGUUAAAGGCAUCCAUUUCCCCCCUGAGGGCAGCAUAAUUACAAAAAAAUCUAAUAAGGAAGAGAGGAAAGGACAGAGUUUCUAUCAUAGGGGUGUGCACGCUCAAGGUCUGUAUUCAGAUCACAUGCGGUAGAGAAGCAACACAGAGCCGGGUGAUCCAGAUAUAUCAGAUCAUGCAAAAACCUCUCUCAAAAUUGAACACCAUUGGCACAAUGGGUAUGAAUUCACCACAAUAUAUGAUGCAUUCAUUUCCACUAAGUUAAUGUCUUUAUGACUAUCUGCUGCCAUCUCCAUUAAAUCACUCAGCAAGAGAACCUGGGAGACAAGGAUCCACCACCAGGGACGGACUCCAUCUGAAUACACAGCUGCUCUGUGCUUUUGCAAAUGAAUGAAAUAUUUACAAUCAACUUUGCACUGAUGCCUCCUAAUUUACUCUGAUUGAUUGAAUACCUGCACAUGUCUAUUUCACAUGAGCCAGGGGAGAUUAAAAAAAAAAAAAAUAAGCGAAGUCAUUAACAAAUAUGGGCAGAUCUUAAUGUCUGUAUUUCAAGUAGGAGUAAUUGUUCGGUAUUGAUUGUGCCAUAACUCUGCAUUAUCUAAGGUGAGUGAGUAAUGUGUCCCAUUGCAAAUUAUGCAUUAAGGUUUCAAAUAAAAAGACAUUUCAUGUAAUUGCCUCCCAACUCAAUCUCAACAGCUGUACAUUAACAUUCAUGAAAGAAUUGGUUGAUUGCGUAUUCUUCUGAGAUGUUUCUUCCAUUUCAUUUCAAACACAGCCUUGCAGGCAAAAAAAAAAAAAAGAGUAGCCACUUCACACGUGUGUGUCACACUGUGCAUGUAUGAAUAAGAAAGCAUGAUUAGAACUGUGGCUAAUGUCACAUUUGAAUGCUGGAGGACAACAUAUAGCAAUGAAUAAAAGAGGGAGUUCCAUGUGAAUAAAUAUGUCUGCUUGUGAAAUGUCACUCAAGUGACAGGCACUUCAUGCCCAAUGUGAAGGUUUUCACACAAAACAUAAAAACUGGAAUUUCACAUUCACUUAUAAUCUCUUCUGAUGAUUUUUUUAUUUUUUUAUUUUUUACAUAUUAUAUAUCUGUUUACCACAGUAGAACUAAACAUCUGGGCAGGACGCUCUGUAGACAUUAUACAGCUGUGUAUUUUCAUGCGAAAAAUCACUGAAUCCCUGGAAGACAGCAGGACGCCCCCAGUGACUCCCUCCAACAUUAAACACGGCUGCAUCCCUCAACUGCUGCCUAACGCAGGGGCAGGAGAGUAAGUGCACUUAAAAGAAAGGGGAGCAGCGAUCCAUUUCUCAACCCCAUCAUCAGCCAGGCAUAUCCCCAGACCCUCAUCCUAGAUACAGCCACAAACACAUGACAGAAGGUCAAGGAUGGGGAGCAGGAAACACUCAGGCAGGCUUUUUACAUAUAUUUUUUUUAUGCUAUUCAAUCCAUUUCACAGCCUUUUCGGAAAAGCAACUGCCUGUUCAAUGUAAUUGCCACUCUGGUUUAAUCAAAAGGGGUUUUCGAAGCAAAUGGUGCUACAUCUCAACCCUGCAAUGCCAUGCUGGACAUUGCUUCAUUAUAGAAUAAUGACUGCAUGGCUUCAAAGACAUGUUUCACCUCUCAUUUGGCUAUUGCUCAAAAUAUGUGCAAAGGAUCUAUAAAUAAACGUGAAUAAAGGGGAGAAUGACUACAAUCCCUGCUGAAUAGUAGGAUACUUUGAAGAUGGAGCAGGCUGAGCA
Siniperca chuatsi (mandarin fish) is the source of this 3342-nucleotide long non-coding RNA. RefSeq lists it as uncharacterized. The transcript is spliced from 4 exons. NCBI's taxonomy places the organism in Eukaryota, Metazoa, Chordata, Actinopteri, Centrarchiformes, Sinipercidae. The record is from RefSeq and is a predicted model, not a curated record.